RNAcentral lists this ribosomal RNA (489 nucleotides) under uncultured Desulfobulbus sp. RNAcentral's name for it is "bacterial SSU rRNA". It matches the Rfam family "Bacterial small subunit ribosomal RNA", at positions 891 to 1382 of the family's 1533-position model. The record is from RNAcentral. Lineage: Bacteria; Pseudomonadati; Thermodesulfobacteriota; Desulfobulbia; Desulfobulbales; Desulfobulbaceae.
GCUCAGAAACUUAAAGGAAGUUGACGGGGGCCCGCACAAGCGGUGGAGCAUGUGGUUUAAUUCGAUGAUACGCGAGGAACCUUACCUGGGCUCAAAUGUAUGUUGACGUAUUCUGAAAGGGAUACUUCUUCGGACAAUAUACAAGGUGCUGCAUGGUUGUCGUCAGCUCGUGCCGUGAGAUGUUGGGUUAAGUCCCGCAACGAGCGCAACCCUUGCCUUUAGUUGCCAGCAGUUCGGCUGGGCACUCUAAAGGGACUGCCGGUGUUAAACCGGAGGAAGGUGGGGAUGACGUCAAGUCCUCAUGGCCUUUAUGACCAGGGCUACACACGUACUACAAUGGCCGAUACAAAGGGCAGCGACACUGCGAGGUGAAGCCAAUCCCGUAAAAUCGGUCUCAGUCCGGAUUGGAGUCUGCAACUCGACUCCAUGAAGUUGGAAUCGCUAGUAAUCGUGGAUCAGCAUGCCACGGUGAAUACGUUCCCGGGCCUU